UAUGGGAUAGCCACUAGAAAUGGUGGGUAAUACUGUAUAAUCCCUGCGGGGGAAAGAUUUAUCGCUAUUAGAUGAGCCUAUGUUAGAUUAGCUAGUUGGUAGGGUAAAGGCCUACCAAGGCAGUGAUCUAUAGCUGGUCUGAGAGGAUGAUCAGCCACACUGGAACUGAGAUACGGUCCAGACUCCUACGGGAGGCAGCAGUGGGGAAUAUUGGACAAUGGGCGCAAGCCUGAUCCAGCUAUGCCGCGUGAGUGAGGAAGGCCUUAGGGUUGUAAAACUCUUUCAGUGGGGAAGAUAAUGACGGUACCCACAGAAGAAGUCCCGGCAAACUCCGUGCCAGCAGCCGCGGUAAUACGGAGGGGGCAAGCGUUGUUCGGAAUUAUUGGGCGUAAAGGGCAUGUAGGCGGUUCGGUAAGUUAAAGGUGAAAUGCCAGGGCUUAACCCUGGAGCUGCUUUUAAUACUGCCAGACUCGAGUCCGGGAGAGGAUAGCGGAAUUCCUAGUGUAGAGGUGAAAUUCGUAGAUAUUAGGAGGAACACCAGUGGCGAAG
RNAcentral lists this ribosomal RNA (549 nucleotides) under Anaplasma platys. RNAcentral's name for it is "partial 16S ribosomal RNA". It matches the Rfam family "Bacterial small subunit ribosomal RNA", at positions 137 to 720 of the family's 1533-position model. RNAcentral also lists the same sequence under 1 other name. Lineage: Bacteria; Pseudomonadati; Pseudomonadota; Alphaproteobacteria; Rickettsiales; Anaplasmataceae. The record is from RNAcentral.